This 300-nucleotide unclassified non-coding RNA is filed under the name uncultured Coprinopsis. RNAcentral's name for it is "sequence contains 5.8S rRNA gene, ITS2". The stretch from base 1 to 71 matches the Rfam family "5.8S ribosomal RNA", at positions 84 to 154 of the family's 154-position model. The record is from RNAcentral. Lineage: Eukaryota; Fungi; Basidiomycota; Agaricomycetes; Agaricales; Psathyrellaceae.
GUGAGUCAUGGAAUCUUUGAACGCACCUUGCGCUCCUUGGUAUUCCGAGGAGCAUGCCUGUUUGAGUGUCAUUAAAUUCUCAACCUCACCAACUUUGUUGUGUGAAGGCUUGGAUGUGGGGGUUUGCAGGUCCGCACUCGUGUGGUCUGCUCCUCUAAAACGUAUUAGUGGGUUAGUCCCCUAAUCUAUUGGUGUGAUAAUUAUCUACGCCGUGGAUUUGGAAGGCUAUCAUAGACCUGCUUCUAACCGUCCUCUGGACAACUUUGACAAUUUUGACCUCAAAUCAGGUAAGACUACCCG